AGAGUUUGAUGGUGGCUCAGGACGAACGCUGGCGGCGCGCCUAACACAUGCAAGUCGAACGAGAGAUGAGGAGCUUGCUCUUCAGAUCGAGUGGCGAACGGGUGAGUAACGCGUGAGGAACCUGCCUCAAAGAGGGGGACAACAGUUGGAAACGACUGCUAAUACCGCAUAAGCCCACGACCCGGCAUCGGGUAGAGGGAAAAGGAGUGAUCCGCUUUGAGAUGGCCUCGCGUCCGAUUAGCUAGUUGGUGAGGUAACGGCCCACCAAGGCGACGAUCGGUAGCCGGACUGAGAGGUUGAACGGCCACAUUGGGACUGAGACACGGCCCAGACUCCUACGGGAGGCAGCAGUGGGGAAUAUUGCACAAUGGGGGAAACCCUGAUGCAGCGACGCCGCGUGGAGGAAGAAGGUCUUCGGAUUGUAAACUCCUGUUGUUGAGGAAGAUAAUGACGGUACUCAACAAGGAAGUGACGGCUAACUACGUGCCAGCAGCCGCGGUAAAACGUAGGUCACAAGCGUUGUCCGGAAUUACUGGGUGUAAAGGGAGCGCAGGCGGGAGAACAAGUUGGAAGUGAAAUCCAUGGGCUCAACCCAUGAACUGCUUUCAAAACUGUUUUUCUUGAGUAGUGCAGAGGUAGGCGGAAUUCCCGGUGUAGCGGUGGAAUGCGUAGAUAUCGGGAGGAACACCAGUGGCGAAGGCGGCCUACUGGGCACCAACUGACGCUGAGGCUCGAAAGUGUGGGUAGCAAACAGGAUUAGAUACCCUGGUAGUCCACACCGUAAACGAUGAUUACUAGGUGUUGGAGGAUUGACCCCCUUCAGUGCCGCAGUUAACACAAUAAGUAAUCCACCUGGGGAGUACGACCGCAAGUUA
RNAcentral lists this ribosomal RNA (875 nucleotides) under uncultured bacterium. RNAcentral describes it as "bacterial SSU rRNA". It matches the Rfam family "Bacterial small subunit ribosomal RNA", at positions 8 to 896 of the family's 1533-position model. The record is from RNAcentral.